AAUAGCUGAAGCUCAGGCAGG
This 21-nucleotide unclassified non-coding RNA is filed under the name Chlamydomonas reinhardtii. RNAcentral's name for it is "small RNA Cre_0154". Lineage: Eukaryota; Viridiplantae; Chlorophyta; Chlorophyceae; Chlamydomonadales; Chlamydomonadaceae. The record is from RNAcentral.